This is a long non-coding RNA of Papaver somniferum (opium poppy), 962 nucleotides long. RefSeq lists it as uncharacterized. NCBI's taxonomy places the organism in Eukaryota, Viridiplantae, Streptophyta, Magnoliopsida, Ranunculales, Papaveraceae. The record is from RefSeq and is a predicted model, not a curated record. The transcript has 3 exons.
UUGAAACCCUCCGUCGCCAUCUCCAUCGCUAAUACCAUCAGCACCAACACCAGUGUUGUAACCCCCAUCACAUUCACCACCUCCGCCAUCACCAUCACCGACGGCGAGUAUAGUUUUAACGGGAAAAUCAAUAAUUUCUUUUUCAAUUUCAUAUCUGGAAAAUAUCUCUAAUUUUCUUUUCUCCUCAGCCAUCACCAUCACCACUACUGUCUCCACUCGUUUCAUUAUGAAAAUCGAUUUUAAAGAUCGAUAAGAACAAUCUACAUGAAGAUUAUAUCAAAAGUUAAACAAUCGAUUGUGUGUUUAAACUAGUUUACAUUUCUUAGGAUUUUGAUAUUGAUUCAAUCAAUCUCAAUCUAAUCUUCCAUAAUAUCUAUCUGAUUUUGUUUCAAAUCUUCACUGAUAUGAUUUUAGUUGGUUUCCUUUUAAUUUUUGUUUCAUUUGGUUUUGAUAAUAAUUUUGCUUAUUACUGAUUUUAUUAUAUUCUGAAAAUUCAUAAGUGGUGUCUUGAAUGACAUAAUAUCAAAAUCAUAAUACGACAUUUUUAGUGGGUUCUCGAAAGACAUACAUCACGCAUGUACUAGGAAUCCAUAAGUGGUGUCUUGAAUGACAUAUGGAAAAAAAAAAUUUAAGGUUUCUUCCAUGCCUGGUUAUUUAGGUGUCUUCAGAAAUCAUGCAUUUUGUUUCUCUUAUUAAUAGUUUGGUGUUUGUUCAAUGCCGGAUAUGGUGCCCAGGUGAAUCUGUAACUCAAACUACUAUUGGUGUACUAAGAUAAACGGUGGUUAUAUAUCUCAAUAUGAAUGAUACAUCAUGAGGUAAGGUCUAAGGAUAACUGUUCGAAGAAGUCUUAAGUGGGCGGCUUGUGGAGCUUUGGCGAUGAGCUUAGUCUCUUAAGUUACCAAUGUUUUUGAAAGGAUCAACUCCAGUUGUUGACACCACUGGCGGUGGUGGUGGGUGGCGGC